UCCCGGAAGCGCUGGGACGGGUGGUGAGGGGCCCGGGCAGGUGGCGCGCCUUAGAGAGGAUGCUGUUCCUGCUGCUUUCCGUGCGUGUUUUCUGAAAGGUUGGAGGAGAUUAGGUGUCUCUCGGGCUGACAUUUGAAGGUCUGGAGCUGGCCGUUUAUGAGGGUUUAUAAGGGUUUUAAGUGCUCCGGCCAUGGGCACCAACCCGAUCUUCCAGCCCCUGCGGACGGACCGCCUCCCCCGCCCCGGGGGGAUUGGCUGCUCUGGGACCCCGAGCCCAGAGGACGGUGAGAAGCUGACAAACAUACAGACCAGAAGAGGAGUUUGGGGCUUGACACCUGACAUCUUAACACCAGUUCCUGUUUCUUGAGGAAGGAAGAGGUAAAAUAAAUCAGCGUUUUCUGUGUCCUUCUCCAUCCCCGGAAGUCCUCAUGAAGACCCUCUCAGCUUCAACUUGAACGUGAAUAUGAGCAGCUGAUCAUCUGUUCUGCAGUCAGCCCCUGGCCAGAUUCUGACUCAUGAUAUUGACCUUCUCCAUCAUCACCUUCCACAAAUUUGAUUCCUGUCUAUUCUGCCUGGAAUGGUUCACGAGUAUAGUCACCGUUUAUGCUCCUGAUGAAAGGACAUGCUAAAUACAGAAAAUAUCCUGCAAGCACUGGAUCAACUCUUAUCCAGAAAUGGAAAACACCCAGGAGGAUUUUGCUACACCAGCUCCCCCUUCCACUCCCCUAAUCCUAAUCGUAAACCCAAAUUCACCCUGUGAGGACAGAAGACAUGACUGGGAGUGACAGACUCUCCUGCGAGGGACAGGGUCAGAGACGGAGGAAGCGAGGGCUUUCAGGCGAGGUGAAUUCUGAAGUCUCCUGAUGAUCAAACAGAAAGCCCUGGAUGAUCAGAGGUGUAGAGACCAGAAGAGCUCAUUGUCUCCAAGAACAAGCAUGAAAUCUGCUGGGUCUGACUGUUGAGUGGUCUGUGGUGUGUUCUUCUUCCAGUGAUUAAAAUCUUUGUAUCUGUUGUUAAAGAUAUUUUCCCCGUUCAAAAAAAAAAAUCCAACAAAAUGUUUUUAAAAUAAUGUAUCUAUGAUGAUGUUUAUCAACUUUCAAAGCUCUGAAAGUCUUUUGUAUAACACCUCUAAGGGUACAGAUUUGUAUAAUGAAAAAGUUACAGUCAUGGCCCCACCCUCAUAUGUAAUUUGGUCCUGCACCCCCAAGGCGUCCAGUGUUAAUAGACACGUGUAUCUUUCCCUAUGUUUCUCAGCUGGGACCCACACACACAGUCACAGGUUCACAAGUAGAUCCCCUGGUUUGUUUGCUCUAAUGGAAAUUGGGUCAUACUCUACCCACGGUGCUCUGUAAAUUGCUGAUUCCCUGAAGGUCAUUAGGUAUGGCACUAACACUGCCUUUUUGGGUCUUCUAAGAUUGAACUCAUAUUUACACAUAAAGCAUUUAAAUAGAUGAGAACAAUUACUGUAUACACUAUCUAGACUCAUACAUAGCACUACUACAGUGGAAACACAUAUCACCAGUGCUUUCUAAGUCCGCUCUUCCUGCAUGUUCUAACUCCCCCGCCCCCACCAGUCCUUUUCCAGAAGUGAAUCCAAGGUAAUUCAGGUUAACAAUGUGGUAAGUACUCUCUCUUACCCUUGCUUAUACGAGCACACACAGACACAAAUGUAUCUUCGUCUGCUCAUUUACACACUCACAUAAACACAAACAGGUAUUCAAGCAUACUCAAACAAUUGCUAUUGCUUUACCCUAAUGUGCUCAUUUUAUACAGACUUCUCUGCACCUUGAUUUUCUCCUUCAAUAAUACUUCACAGAGAUUUCUCCUGUUUAACUACCAGAGUUCUUUUUCAUUCUAAUGACUCAAACUUUAUUGAUUUAGCUCUACCAUAAAUUAUCUAUCUUUCCACCAUCCAUGGCAGUCGAUUUUGCCGUUAUUAACAAUAACCGUCCUUUGUAUACUAGAGGAUUUGCUUCCAUGGGAUAGAUUCCAAAGGGUGAGAUUUCUAGGUCAAAGAAUGUUUCAAAAUUACAGAGCCAUGUCCGUGUCUUUCCCCUAAAGGCUGUCAUAACGCCCCUUUCCAGCCAUGUCUGAGGCACCCUUCUCCCCACAGCACCCCCCGGCCCCAGCCAUAGGUGGUGUAGAUUUUUAAAUUGUGCCAGUUUCACUGGGACUUUGAUAUUUUCUUCACUACCAGUGUUUUUGAACAACUUUGAUUAUGCUUAUUGGCCAUUCGUAUUUGCUCUGAACGGUCUUUUGAAUUCAUUGCUCAUUUUGUAAGUCCUCAAUUUUUGUCUUCCUUGUAUAAAAUGGAAAUAGUUGUUAAUCCUUAUCACCGACAUUUCCCAUAACUUCCCAAAUCCAUCGCUGAUGUAUCACAUUCUUAGAUGUUUUUUUUUUUUUUUGCCCAGAAUGAUCAGUUGAGUCAGCAGCAUUUAUAAGAUAAACCAUAAUUUUCCUGAGUUGAAAUACCACCUCUGUAUUAACGGUUAUUAUGAUAAUCUUUGUGGAUUUGCUACUUCGUUUCCUUGGUCUAGCUUUCAGUUCCUAUGCUAUGUAAUAUUUGUUCCGUUAGUUGAUGAAGCAGCCUCCUUCUUUUUCAUGUUUUUGUUGUCUGUUCUUUCGUAUCUGUUAUACUAUUUGCAUCUUAAGAUUACUGUAUACAAUUCAACAAAUAACUAGGUAAAUAUUCUAAUGGGAAUUGCAAUACAUUUGUAUGUUGGUUUUGGGGGACUGUCAUUGAUUAAACAAGACUUCCCAUUUGAUAAAACAUAUUUUUUGCAUUAUUAAGGUUUAAUUUUAUUUCCUCCUCUACUUCAAAUAGGCUCUUUUCUGUUCCAGUCAAAACAACGUUUUCCUAAGUAGUUUAUGGUUUUGGACACAAUUUGAUGCAAUCAUGUAGUAAAGAAAAUUGUCUUUAUUCCUCCCACCCUGAAACUUCCAAUUUUGGGCACUGUGUCUAGAUUGGAGAGAAGUCAUUGAUUUUGGUAUAUUUGGCUUGUCAGUUUACCAAAAUUUUUAUCCUCAUUUUCUAGGUAUGCAAUUAUAUUAUCAUCAUAAAAAGAAGAAAAUCUGUUUUAAUAUUUAAUUCAUUCCUUAACUUUUCUAGCUCAUUAAUUCACCUAGAAAAGUAUGUUGGGUCAUAAAAGUAAUAACAGUAUAUUUGUCUACUUCCAAAUUUUAUUAGCAUGAAUGGAGUAUUUUUCCAUUUAUCUAAUAUCUACUAUGUUUUAUGAUAAUUUUUUAUGCCCCAGUAGAUAAUAUAUUGACCUGCUGACCAUUACAGUAAUGACAUACACCUUGUUUCUGAUAGUUAAGUGCUUCCACCUGGCUUCUGCUGCUCUGGGACCCCAUUAUUCCCAUUGCUACUAG
Long non-coding RNA from Loxodonta africana (African savanna elephant), 3372 nucleotides. RefSeq lists it as uncharacterized. The record is from RefSeq and is a predicted model, not a curated record. Lineage: Eukaryota; Metazoa; Chordata; Mammalia; Proboscidea; Elephantidae. The transcript has 7 exons.